UACGGAGGGGGCUAGCGUUGCUCGGAAUCACUGGGCGUAAAGGGAGCGUAGGCGGGUCUUUAAGUCAGGGGUGAAAUCCUGGAGCUCAACUCCAGAACUGCCUUUGAUACUGAAGAUCUUGAGUUCGGGAGAGGUGAGUGGAACUGCGAGUGUAGAGGUGAAAUUCGUAGAUAUUCGGAAGAACACCAGUGGCGAAGGCGGCUCACUGGCCCGGUACUGACGCUGAGGUGCGAAAGCGUGGGGAGCAAACAGG
Molecule: ribosomal RNA, 253 nt
Filed under: uncultured bacterium
Lineage: Bacteria
Description: partial 16S ribosomal RNA
Rfam family: Bacterial small subunit ribosomal RNA
Source: RNAcentral